This 1361-nucleotide ribosomal RNA is filed under the name uncultured bacterium. Its description in RNAcentral is "bacterial SSU rRNA". It matches the Rfam family "Bacterial small subunit ribosomal RNA", at positions 28 to 1381 of the family's 1533-position model. The record is from RNAcentral.
AUUGAACGCUGGCGGCAGGCCUAACACAUGCAAGUCGAGCGGUAGCACAGAGAGCUUGCUCUCGGGUGACGAGCGGCGGACGGGUGAGUAAUGUCUGGGAAACUGCCUGAUGGAGGGGGAUAACUACUGGAAACGGUAGCUAAUACCGCAUAAUGUCGCAAGACCAAAGUGGGGGACCUUCGGGCCUCAUGCCAUCAGAUGUGCCCAGAUGGGAUUAGCUAGUAGGUGGGGUAACGGCUCACCUAGGCGACGAUCCCUAGCUGGUCUGAGAGGAUGACCAGCCACACUGGAACUGAGACACGGUCCAGACUCCUACGGGAGGCAGCAGUGGGGAAUAUUGCACAAUGGGCGCAAGCCUGAUGCAGCCAUGCCGCGUGUAUGAAGAAGGCCUUCGGGUUGUAAAGCACUUUCAGCGGGGAGGAAGGCGAUAAGGUUAAUAACCUUGUCGAUUGACGUUACCCGCAGAAGAAGCACCGGCUAACUCCGUGCCAGCAGCCGCGGUAAUACGGAGGGUGCAAGCGUUAAUCGGAAUUACUGGGCGUAAAGCGCACGCAGGCGGUCUGUCAAGUCGGAUGUGAAAUCCCCGGGCUCAACCUGGGAACUGCAUUCGAAACUGGCAGGCUAGAGUCUUGUAGAGGGGGGUAGAAUUCCAGGUGUAGCGGUGAAAUGCGUAGAGAUCUGGAGGAAUACCGGUGGCGAAGGCGGCCCCCUGGACAAAGACUGACGCUCAGGUGCGAAAGCGUGGGGAGCAAACAGGAUUAGAUACCCUGGUAGUCCACGCUGUAAACGAUGUCGAUUUGGAGGUUGUGCCCUUGAGGCGUGGCUUCCGGAGCUAACGCGUUAAAUCGACCGCCUGGGGAGUACGGCCGCAAGGUUAAAACUCAAAUGAAUUGACGGGGGCCCGCACAAGCGGUGGAGCAUGUGGUUUAAUUCGAUGCAACGCGAAGAACCUUACCUGGUCUUGACAUCCACAGAACUUUCCAGAGAUGGAUUGGUGCCUUCGGGAACUGUGAGACAGGUGCUGCAUGGCUGUCGUCAGCUCGUGUUGUGAAAUGUUGGGUUAAGUCCCGCAACGAGCGCAACCCUUAUCCUUUGUUGCCAGCGGUCCGGCCGGGAACUCAAAGGAGACUGCCAGUGAUAAACUGGAGGAAGGUGGGGAUGACGUCAAGUCAUCAUGGCCCUUACGACCAGGGCUACACACGUGCUACAAUGGCAUAUACAAAGAGAAGCGACCUCGCGAGAGCAAGCGGACCUCAUAAAGUAUGUCGUAGUCCGGAUUGGAGUCUGCAACUCGACUCCAUGAAGUCGGAAUCGCUAGUAAUCGUAGAUCAGAAUGCUACGGUGAAUACGUUCCCGGGCCU